Long non-coding RNA from Megalobrama amblycephala (Wuchang bream), 167 nucleotides. RefSeq lists it as uncharacterized. The transcript is spliced from 3 exons. The record is from RefSeq and is a predicted model, not a curated record. NCBI's taxonomy places the organism in Eukaryota, Metazoa, Chordata, Actinopteri, Cypriniformes, Xenocyprididae.
GGAAGUUGUUCACUGUCCAGAAUACAAGCUUUUCCAAAAACUAACAAAGAUGUGUAGGUUUUUUGCCAACACAUUAGUCCACUACAUGAAGGAAUUUAAAACAUUCCUUGCCAAGUCAUGCUGUCGAUUUCAUCAGUUGUAUCUCCAAAUCCACAGCAAGUUCCCCC